Manis javanica (Malayan pangolin) is the source of this 11020-nucleotide non-coding RNA. Lineage: Eukaryota; Metazoa; Chordata; Mammalia; Pholidota; Manidae. The record is from RefSeq and is a predicted model, not a curated record.
AGCCAGCCGCAGAGAGCCAGCCCCCUGUCGUCCUGACUGCACACAGACCCACUAAACUCUCUGCAUCUGAAGUUCAAAGGCCAGAGGAACUCCAGUUGACCCAUGUGGUCAGGUGUCCUCCUUGGUUGAAUCCACUGUGGCCAGAAAGUGAAACUGGACUGUAUGAACACAUCCAGGGGCCUUGUCUACGCAGAGGGAGUGCGUCCCUGAGAAGGCGAGGUCAUUGUGUCCAGCUCCUGAAAACUCCCAGCAAGUCCGGACAGCCUGUGAGAAAGAAACAGGAGGAAGAGGCUGUGCUUAAUUCACAGAUUCCAGGCAGCGUCCCAUCCUGCAUACGGAAGGAGCUCCACUGCGCUGUGGAAGGGAAAGAUGUUUAAAGGUGGAAAGGGGGUGGACAAAGGAAGUUAUCAGCAAAGACCGCACUGUUCCAGGCAAGGCUCUGUCCUAAGGAGAACGCUCGGCCUCUGCUGGGCAGGUCACCUCGGUGGUUCUGAGCAGCGUCCCAGUCCCGCGGAGAUCACUUGCUUGGCCACUUAUGGCUGUGAACAGACUUAAAAAGAAAUCAUAUAAAGCUUUUGAGAGAAGUCCAUGCGCCAAGGAGAUUACUGUGAUCAUAAGCAGGACAGUCCCCAGUGUUUGGAGUGCACUUUGAAGUCAUGGUCCCAGGACUCAAAAUCAGAGCAACAGGAAGCUCCAGGAGAGGCAUCAACACCCGACACCCUGGCUGUCUGCUCCUAGACCUUCUCAGAUCCGGGACCCUGUGACUUCAUGGAGACGCGUAACCCCUGACCCCCUUCACGUCCAGUUCUGUCAGCACCUGCCCAGCUUUCCUUCCUUAGCCGCCCUCAACUCUCUGGCCCGUGGUUACACCUCCUUCACAGGUCCACUCCUUUCUCCUCUCUCCUCCCACUGAACUGUCUCACAGAAACUUUGUUGGCCUUCCGAACACUGCUUUCCUUCCCGGCACCGGCUCCCGGGCAGCUGACCAUUAAUGCAGAAGGUCACAGAAACAAAGCAGUUUUCACUAGAUUCGUGGUGAUGCCUUUCAGAGGGCGCCCACCACUGCCCAGCAGCCCUGGGCUGUCCUAGCAGACUUGGUCUCAUUUCCCAGACAGACCAUUCCGCGCCUUCUCUUCUCUCUUCAAACUGCCCACCCCUUACUCCGCACCCAUUCUCAGUUGAUGGUCUCAGUGUCUUGAGGACACGGACACGACAGGGUGCCAACUGCCCACCAGCCCUGCAGACCACCCAUGUGCUUCCGCCGCCCCAGUGGAGAAAGUGUCUCUUCCUUACUUGAGGCAGCUGUGCCUCGGGGCUGUGGUUCCAGCCUCCCUUGCCUCCUCUGAGGCUGGCGGCUGUCUGACUCUAGGGCACUCACUCUCCUGAAUCAUUCACAUCCCUCAGGCAUGGCCCUCCCUGCACCUCCACCUUGCAAAACAAUAAUAAGGUCCCUAUGGUCCUACUAGUCUGUCUACAUUUCGUGUUUCUUGUCUGCUUUGCUGGGGAAGGAGCUGCUUUUUUAAGUCUCCCACUCCUGUUACCACCCAGCCCGUCCCCAUCUGGCUUCUGCUGAAACCGCUCCCGGUCACUGGUGGCUGUCAGGUGUCCGACCCAGUCCUCAUCUUGGCCUCUCCAUGGAAUCUGAUAGCUCCUCCCACCCCCUGGGAUGGUGGCUCUCCGUGGGGCUGCGACUCCCCUGCCUACCCCCUGCCCGCUCCUUGUUCCCUUCGCCGCAUUCUCCUCUUCUGCGGGGCUCUCCCGAGGCUGGAUCAUGACCCCCUUUGCCACUUACAUUCUCUUUCUAGGUGGUCUCAUUCCCAUGACUCUAAAAUGUCAUAUAUCUUCUGACAAUUAUCAGAUGUAUGUCUCCAGCCCAUCCCUGAUGUCUGAACCCCAGACUUUUCUAUCCAAACACCAACUUUGCAUCUUCACCCGCGUGUCCUGCUCACGUCUGACAGUCAGUGUGUCUGAAAGAGCUCUUCUUGCCCAGCUCUGCUCUGGCGCUUGCUCUCCGCUAGGCCGCUUCAUCUCGAUAAAUAUCACUGCCAUCCAUCCAAUCACCUAAAGUAGAAUUCUAGAAAUUGUUCUUGAUUUUCUCCUUUCUGUACCCCCUUCUGCCCAAUCCAGUGGUAAAUUCUCAGUCACCUCUGAAAUAUACUCCAUGUCAUUCACCCGCCUGCCACAGUCCAGUCUGCCAUCAUUUCCCAGCAGAAUUACUGAAUUACCCUGCUAUCUAGGCUCCCUGUUUCAACUUUACUCUCUUUAUUCCUCAAGCAGCAGCAAGAAUGACCUUAUCAAAUGUUAGCUCAGGCCACUACCUGUGUGACACCCGGGCGUGCACUGUGCUGAGACCACAUCCACACUUCUUGCCUUCCUGACGCCCUGGCAGGUCUGCUCCAACUCUUCCCUUCACUGGGCACCGAUCUCCUAUCCGUUCAUUCCGGCAAACCUGGCUUCAUUUCAAUGCUCCACAGGGUCUCCUUUGUCCGGGGGGCUGGCUGCCCCAGACCAUAAGCUGGGAACAAUCUCCCACAGUCCACAAAGCUGGCUGUCUCCCAUCUUUCCCAUGAGACCUCCUCACAGACGUCUUCCUUAACCACAGUAGCUAAAGGACAUGCCAAUUAUUAUCUCCCUCAGUCCUCUUUUCUCUGCUCAUUUGCACUUAGCAUAAUGCCCGAGGGUUUGGGGUUGUUUAUUUUCUAUAAUCUUUGCUUGUAUUUAAAUUCUGAAAGCAAGUACCAGGCUUUCUGUGUUUCUCAUCAUGUCCCUAUGCCUGGGACAGUGCUGACUUUCAGAAAUACUUGUAGAAUGAUGGGUGAAUGAGCAGUGGAUGCUAAAUAAAGAUACACCCCUACCCUGCCCUACAUUUCAUGAAUCUUGGCUCACCUUGCACCUGAGUCCUCAUUUCUGGGGUACAGUGGAUGACCUGGCACUGCUUAAACUGUUUCAAAGCAGGGAGUUGGAGUUCCUAUUUUUAGGGUUUGUCUUGCUUCCUCCAACCCAAUACCCAAGGGAGAGGAGUUCACAUGGUUUAACAGACAAGGGCCGUGAUGGGGGAAGCCAUGGACUGAAUUCCAGUCGGCCACUCACGAGCUAACCUUGGGCAGGACGCAGUCCCUCUUACUCGGUUUCCUCAUGUGUAAACUGCAGAGCAGUACCUGUGUCAUCUGCUCCAAGGCGUGGUGCUCGGAAGUGGGUUCACCAGUGAGACCUUUGUAAGACAUAGUGCGGAGCCAACAGUCUCAGUGUCCUGGAGCCCCCCUGGUCAGGAAGCAGGCAGUGGCUCUCAGAUCUCUCCGAGGAGUGACUUAAGGAAUGCCUUCCCUCGGCGCCUGACCUCUGCUGGGCUGCGGCUGGGGCUUCACUGAGGUCCUGGGACCUGUUCCCGCCCCACCGCCCAGGCCCUCCUUCUUCCUUUCCCUCCAUGGACGUGGACGUAUGGCGGCUGUUUCUGCUCCAUGAGGCACAGCUCCUGCCAGGUCCACGAGGCUGGCAGUCUGGGCAGGUGCCCGCCACCCUCAGCUGCUGCCAGGGACCUGCAGCCACCUUGCCCUCUGCCCUGCGAGGAUGCCCUGGGGCUUGGCUGCUGCCGACCCUGCGUGCCGCCGUGGGAGAGCCUCCAGCUCCUGCAGAGCACCUGCUCCUGGGCGAGCUGUGCACCAUGCCUCUCACGCAGUUUCCCUGGCUUCCUCUGCUGGUCAUGCCUGUGGGUCCCUCAUGGCUGUGGUCCCCCGGGCCUCCCCAGGGCUUAGAGCUCGGCCGGGGCCAUGCCCUUCCGCCUUCUGUGCCCCCCACCCGGUCCUCUCUCUCUCUCCUAGUCUUCUGUCAUCCGGAGGAAGCGCAGCUUUGGCGGGUCCCCUCAUUCGCGUCGUCUCCACACCCUGCCUCUCCUCUGUCCUGUGGGAGGUGCUCGGGGCAGGUGCUGAGGGUCAGGGGGACAUCCCUGCUGCCGACACUGUAACGCUGCCCGCCUCAGGCUUCUUCCCUGAGAGCUCUUCUUCCCCAGCACCCACAAGACACAUUUCACCCCCCCACCCAGCACUCAAGUCUGAGUGCGGCUCUAAGCGUCCUCUCUCAGCCUGUUGCCCGCCGCACCCGAAGUGCCUGCUCCGGCCUCUGCUCUGUCCCCCGCUCACUGGAUACCCCUCCUUCCCCUGCCUCAGGCUCCCCGUCCUCCAGGGCCCCCUUCCUUCCAGAAGGCCUCCUCCCCUCCCCUGGCCCAUGAUGCCCUCUCCUCUCCCUUGAGGCCAGAGUGUUUCUCAUCUGCACUGCGCAGAGUAGCAUCUUCUUUCUUUUUUUUUUUCACUCGGCUACUGAGGACCUGCCUUCCCUGCAGCCUGGUUCCUUGAAGAGAGACGACUGCAUGUUGAUGUGUGAUUGACACAUGCCUGUCAUACAGAGGGGCUCACAGACAUUUGUCAAGUUCUGUGACGCGGGGAUGUGUCUGCAUGGUGGUUAAGGGCGGAUAUUGGGACGCACACGAGCUCACGCUGCACCUGGGCCACCUCUCAGGUAUGUCGUGUUUGGUGAGUCACUCGGCUCCCCGGCCUCUGCCCCUCACCUGUGGAGUGGAGAUACGGUAGGUCUUACCCGUUAAGGUGGGAACAGGAGAAAGGAGGUGAUGAUGUGUGUAGUGUAUUCCCAGCAUGUAAUAAGUGUUCACUAAAUAAUAAUGAUGGUUGUUAAUUAUUUGUACAGCGCACACCCCAGAGCCAAGGGUUCAGGAGGCGCUUAUCCAACAAACUGGCUCAUCCAGAAAUCCAUGCAGUGGUUCUUAGGAGAGCGGAGAGGGGAAGGACAGGCGCGUGAGCAGGCCCGUCAGGAGUUCCGCGUAGUUCACUGGGGUCAGUGCCCAGGUCUCCUGGAGGCCAGCCUGGGGUCCUCCCUUGCUCCGUCCUGUUAAGUAGACCAACAGAGUCCUCCUGAGAGAAGAAGAGGAAGGGGCUAUCCUAUGAUCUCCAAGCAAAGUACACCAAAAUAAAAUUGAUACUAAGUACUUUAUCAGCCAUUAUUUCACUCUUGCUGUAGACAUGAAAGGGUGAAAGCUGUAGGAGUCUAAUUUUUUUCCUUUAUGGAAGAAACAAUCUGAGUGACCUGAAGACGGCACGCGUCGUCCCAGAAGGUUCCCAGUUCCCUGUCACUGAAGGCAUUCAGGAGAGACCAAAUGGCCACCAGCUAGGCAAGUUGGAGGAAAUUUGCAGCCUAGGCAGGUGGCUGGCCACGGUGGCCUGAGAGGUCCCCUCCACCCCUUUAGUGGGGCUGGUCCCAGACACACGGCAGAGGGUGGCAGCUGUACUGGAACUGCCACGGGCUUCACCCAGCACUGCCCUCCCGCUGCCAGGCCCACCCUUCCCAUGUUCACACCAGCUGGAGAGCAGGGUCGUAGGGGUGCCACGAGAUCUGCGGAGUGUCCAGAACCAAGAGAACUGUGGAGUGUGUCAGUUAUCCCGACGUGUUCCGGCACCUGCUCCAGGCCUCUGCGGUCCUGGUCCCCAGUACCAGGAAGAGCCGGCUCCCGGAACCCGCCAAUCCCAGCUGUAUCGUGCCUACACACAGCGAGCCGCUAAGGCUCCAGGCCAUGCUCUCCUUUGUCUUAAAAACGAUGGCAGGGUGAGGUCCCUGGACGGCACACAGUGUCCCUUCUCCACUGCAAUGUGCAGUCUGUCUCUGGAUGGUCUCCGAGCUCCCAGGCCCCUGUGCCCUGCUGGUGGCAGCCCUAGCCCUCUGGGCCCAGCUGUAGUCAUGCCCUCAGGUCAGUGUGCCAAGGGAAGUGGGGAGCAGAGAGUACAAGGGUGGGAGCCGGGAGAGCAGCUACUCAGAGAGAGAGAGUUGGAGCCUGACAAAUGUGUGCGAUUAGUGAAAGAGGAGACACAGAUGCUUGAUCUGGUUUGGGAUUAUUGCAAAUCCAUCAGGCUCUGUGGCAAAGUGAGACCAUGAUGCAGAUGGUCCGUAUCCCCAGCAUCCCCAUUUCCAUUAAGCCCUGCUGCCCAUGUCCCCUGGGACUGGCACUGUCUAGCAGCUAACUGAAGGGGUCAAGCUAGCACUAAACCAACAAGCCACCCCAGAGGGGUCAACCCCCACCCCAGCCUUCCAAGCCAGAGGCUGUUGGACUUCGGACGGGUUCCUGGCUGCUCCUCAGUCUCAGGUGGAGCUUUGGUGGGAGGACGCUCAUCGGCAGGGUGGUGGAGGGCGCACGGGGCCAGGAGAAAGGAAGGGGGAUUCAGUGGGGUCCGAACCCCAGCUCUGCAUUCAGUGGCUCUGUUGCCUCAGCAGUUUCUGUGAACUGCCACAACCUUGGGGUUCUUAUCUGUGCAAAGAGAACAGCACACCCAGCACCGUGUCUGGUGUCAAGCUAAUGCUGAUGAUGUCGGUGGGGGCCUUAGGGCUCAUGAGCUGCCUGCCGGCGCUGGUGGCCGGGUGCUCCUGGGUGCUCCCAGUGGCUCCGUGCGAGUGGGAGCCCGCAGGUGCCCAGCGUUGGUCCAGAUGCCCUCGGCUCAGGGUUUGGGCUCUGUCCUGCCCCUCUGUGCCAUAGGGCUGGCAGUACGUGCUCCGAGACUGGGGCCCACCCUCUUCCUGGGCCCUGCUCAGAGGAGGGGAAAGUGGAUAAAGGUGCACCUGGGGACAGGCCGUCUGCUAGUUGUCCAUGUACUCAUGGACUCUGCUGGCCCCUCCCUGCAGAGAUGCUCACCGAUAUCCCCACUUUACAGAGGAGGAAAGGGAGGCAUGAGGAAAUCAAGCAGUUUGCCACCGCCACCCUGCCAGCGAGUGGGAGCCAGAUUUGAGUCAUUCCAAAGCCCGCCUCUUCCAGCCCCACCUGCUGUCUUUGCUUUGACCUUCCUACCCUUUGUUAGGGCGGAGCCGGGGCCAGGGAGCAAGUGCCAUCCCCUGGGAAGUAAGCUUUGCUGGGGAGGGGUCUGGGCAGGUGGGGGCCCCCAAGCAGCAGCCCGAGGAUUUCCCCCUCUCUGGAGAAGCAUCUCUGUGACCGCUCUGAGCCUCCGGCUGGGGCCCUUGGCUCUCUGUUUGGGGAAAGCCUGGGGCUCAGCCCUGCCCUGGGCCAACUCCGGGGCCCCCUCUAGUUCACCUGCUGUGUCCCCGUCUCCCUGGCCCAGCCUCCCCACCCCACCCUGCCUGGCCACAUUACCCCACCCUUGGCCUCAGUUGGACCCUCCUGGGAUGGAGGCUUCCCUAAUGGGGGCACCCCGACCUGGAUGGCGGGACACAGUGCCCCAGUCCUGUGAGCCCUUGUGCUCAUGGCCCCCACAGCUGGGGCUCCUUUCUCGGACCAUAAAAGUAAUUUUCAAUUCAGUAUUUUAAAGGCUUCUUUCCUAAAUUAACCUGAAUGGGAGAGCAGCCUGGAGGGACAAAAGACUCCUCUUUAAUAUGAAGAUAGAACAACAGAACAUUCGCCAGGAGGGGCAGCGUCAGCUGAAGAGGUCCUCGGGGACCAUUCCAGCCCGCCUUCCCACGGGCAGCCACUGAAGUCUGGCUGGGUCUGUCCACCUGCUUCGAGAGCAUGAAGACACUAAGGGGAAAAUGGAGCCAGUUGUCACAGAGGCCCUGACUGCCAGCUCUAAGGAAACCUGGGACGAUAAAAUCAAUGACUUGAUCUUCCAUGUUUUGUUGGAGAUGUGUUCUCAUGUACGUUUCUGGUAUUCCACAGAAACCUGCUAUUCCAAGGCCCCUUUGCCACGAGGCCUCACUGCUGAGGAGGGGGCCCUCUGACUCCUGCGGGGGGCAAAGGGUCGAGGCCAGGCCUGCGUGGCUCUGGGAAGGGCCCUCGGCAUCCCUUCAGCUAGAAUGGGCCUGCUGGUGCACCGCCCCUUGUUUCAGUUCAGACUCGGUGUCACCUGGUGGGGGUCGUCCUGGGCAAGCCUGAUCCCCCUGAGCCUCAGGUCCUUCGUGUCGACUUGAGAAGACCUACCAGGUGGAGAACUUGAGGCGAUCACAUCUGCAUAAUGCUUAUAAGGCUCCUGGUCCAGUGACCAGCAAACACUAAUCAUUCACACUUGGCAGCUAUUUCACUGUAUUUUCUUUCUUUGGAAAAUAAGCAUGAUUUUUGUGAGGCCAGGUGAGAAAAAUUUAGGUUAAAAUGUUGUGUAACAUUCAGGGCCAAGUGAGACAUGUUUCUUAUUGGCUUUAUUUGAUUAUUCUCACCCUAGUGGGAGGCAAAGCUCUCUGCCCUCAAUGUCCAUCCAGUUUGAACCUCACCCCCCCGCAGAGCCACCUCCUGCAUCUGCUUCCACCCUAGCAGAUGGCCAGGGAGAUGGCUCUGAGCUCAGGAGUCGGACAGGCCUCGGCUGCAGGGCCGUCCCGUGUAAUCCCCUCCCAGAAUCAUCGCAUCGUCUCCCAGACUGGCCUCUGACUCCCGGGGUGUGACCCAUCAGAGGCAGCAAGCUGAUCAGCCCAUCUGAAAGUCAUUUCUCUCCAAAGGUCUGCGGACCAUAGGGAAGGCUGCCAUUGGUCCCCAGCGGGAAGAAUGGGCCCUGUCAGGGGCGUGACCUCCGCCUCAGCGUUCACACGCUCAGCAACCAGUGGCUUCAAGUGAAGGACUUGAGCAAAUAUUAUAUGGGCUCCUAUGACAGGUGACAAGCGGUAAACAACACGGCAAACCCUGCCGGGAAGGACAGGCUCCUAGACCAACCUGUGUGUAUAAUGCUGACUGAAGAAACCGGUGCCAGACGGGGCGGGGCAUUCUCCAAGCUGACCCCUGGGCCGCCUGGAGUGUGAGGGAGCCCGGCUCCUGGGAGUCAAGGCCCUCAGAGGCAGGUCUGAGAGGCUCUGAGUGGAGCGGUGACCACGACCGGCUGGAAUGAUCUUCUGACCAGUUGUUUCCCCAGCAGCUCACUGACCCAUAUCUCUGUUCUGCUCAGUGCAGAGUUGUUGAGAUAAAGCUUCUUUGUAUUUUUACCUUUGGAAACAAUAUUCACGGAGGAAAUUUGAUGACCACUGACGGACUUGGAGGUCCGUCUCCUUUCUGGCUCCCUAGCAGCUCCGGCUUGUCAGAUACACAGCCAGACGCUGUGUCCGUCUCUGCUCUGGCUGUGAUCCCAGGAGUCUACCUUCUCGGCAAGGAGAGUGGAUCAGAGAGGUGCCUUCCUACGGAGCAUGUGUGCUCAUUGCACUGAGGCCAUAAUUAUGCCUGCGAUGAGAUAGUUUUGCAGGCACUCCCUGAACAAAAUACAGUAAUAAACCUUAAUGAAAUGAAGUCGGUUCAUUGGUAAAGACUGGCCUCAAUAACAGACUGGCCAUUAAAGGUGGACUGUGGAAGAGGAUCGGCAAGCAGCCGUCAUAAAUGUACCAUCAGCCAAAUUAGCAGAGCAUUUACUACUUAGAGUGGGAGAAAGUCCUUUCCAGUAACUGUCCCUACAGCUGCCGUCCCUCGGGGAGCAUCUGAUGCUGCGCGGCUGUGCGGCUCUCGGAACAGGCCCGGGCGGGGCUCUCUGCGGCCAGUGCUUCUGCAGAGAGGACUUCCUUGGGGCAGAGGCCCCAUCAGCUGUGAGCACCCUGCGGCUCUCUGGGGGCUGCUGGGGUUUGGAGAGACAUGUGUCUGCGUGUCUCCCUCAAGGCUAUGUUUACAGCGCUUCCAGAAGCCAGGGUAUUUGUUCUGAGACCUGGGUGAUGUGCGGAACAUUUCCAACAAUGCAGCCUAUUCUUCAGCAGUGAGAUUUGGGGGCACAGCUUUUUUAACCUGUAGGUAAUAAUCCCCCUCUAUUUGCAGUUUAUAAAACACCUACAGGACUGAUUCAUUUGAUCUUCAUAGCUUUGGGGAAGGUGCCUCUUCUGAUCUUGCAGACCGAUGAGCCCAGGCUCCAGGGGCAUAAGCAGCUUGCCCAAGACAGACAGGGAGUUAGUGGGAGAGAUUGGGCUUUCGACCUGCUCUUGCCGUAACUGAACACGCACCUCUUAGCACUGUCCCAUCCAUGGCUGAGCUUGCCUUGAGGAAUGAAGCCCUGCAAAGGCCACAUCUCCACAGACUGCGAGCCCCUGCCGGUCAGUCUGCUCUGCCCCUGGCACCGCCCCCAGCGCCUGUCCCAGUCCUGUGUUGCACGUAGGGGUCCUUCCUGAAUCCAGGUUGAUUGAAGGCUGAUAUGUAGGUUGGAUAUCACAGGCUGCCGACAUCUAGUUCAGCCCGGUACAUGCAAGUGCUCUGUCGUUGAGGAAUGAAUGAAUAUGCAUUAAAAAGCAGCCAUGUGGACAGGUUUGGGGGAGGUAGGUAGGGGAGGUAAGAAUAAAGGUCAGUACUAGCAAGGGUUAUGCAGCAUGGACAGAAAGGACCUUUGGGAGGAAGGCACACAGGCAUCAGAAGAGUUCAGGCUUCAGGCUCUCCACGUGUCCAGACUGGGGAAACUGAGCAAUAACUGGUUCCUUUGGUUAAGUGGAGGGUGUUUGGAGACAGCUGCUCCGUGCCCCGCUGUGGCCACCUGAGCCUCCUGGGUUUGAAGGUAGAGGUCUUAGAAGUGAUCUCAGAUCAUCUAGGCCUCGUGUCCACCUCCUCCGUCUCCUGGACCGUGAUAUCCCGAGCACUCUUGUCUGGUAACAGUGACAGGUUCAAAAACAAAGGCCCCAAGAAAUAACAGGCGCAGGGACGCCACCAGGAAGCCCUGCGGAUUCAGCUCAUUCCACCUAUUCCUGUGGGGGGAUGUCAAAGGCAGUUCCCACAGUACUGCAGGCUUUUCCCAGACGAAGCCUUUAGUUCGUGAGCUGCCCUGGGCCCUGGUGACUCACCCAGGGACAGGGCAUUGGGAGGCGAGGGGCCCUUCCUCCCGCUGCCUGGGCAGAGCCCUCACGGAAGCGUGUCUGGAGCGUCGCAGCCGCAUGUCACCAAGCUACCGAGUGCUGACUGCAAGCUGCUGCCUCCAGCCUUCCUGAACCAUCUUCAGCCCGGGCAGGGCUGUGACUCCUACGACCUUUCACCUUCCCACACUCACACCGGGGCUUCCUUUCCCAGUCUCUGCACUCCCUCCGUCGCUCUCUCUGGAGUAACGCUCAGUCCUGGCUCCCCACACUUCUGGACCCUCCC